AAACUGUGGUCUCAGCUGCUGUGCUUUUUGAAAAUUUUUAGUUUGGAAUGCACCAGAUUGAGUGGGUUUGGGUUGAGGUUUUUGAACUUAUUUAUAUUUGAAUUUUAUCUCAUAGAAUAUUAUAAUAGCUUAGAAAUCAUCUAUAAAUGAAAACAACAAAUCUCAGAAUAAUUAGUGGAGAAAUAAAUGGUGGAUUUGAGACGUGCAUCAGACGAGAGCUAGCUUGUGAUAUAUAAUUUUGUUGUAUUAAGAACG
This 255-nucleotide unclassified non-coding RNA is filed under the name Hevea brasiliensis (rubber tree). Lineage: Eukaryota; Viridiplantae; Streptophyta; Magnoliopsida; Malpighiales; Euphorbiaceae. The record is from RNAcentral.